UCGAGGAUCAUUCGCAAUGAGCGAAAGCUUGACGAUGCGACGCUGUGUGAACGAUGAAGGCCUUCGGGUUGUAAAGUUCUUUCGCUUGGGAACAAGAGAGUUUAGUGAAUAACUAGGCGAUUUGAGGGUACCAGGUAAAGAAGCACCGGCUAACUCCGUGCCAGCAGCUGCGGUAAUACGGAGGGUGCAAGCAUUAAUCGGAAUUAUUGGGCGUAAAGGGCGCGUAGGCGGACUUGUAAGUUAGAUGUGAAAUACCGGAGCUCAACUUCGGUGCUGCAUUUAAAACUACAAGACUUGAGGGUUGACGGAGAAAAUGGAAUUCCACGUGUAGCGGUGAAAUGCGUAGAUAUGUGGAAGAACACCUGUGGCGAAAGCGAUUUUCUAGUUAAUACCUGACGCUGAGGCGCGAGAGCAAGGGGAGCAAACAGGAUUAGAUACCCCUGUAGUCC
Molecule: ribosomal RNA, 449 nt
Filed under: uncultured bacterium
Lineage: Bacteria
Description: bacterial SSU rRNA
Rfam family: Bacterial small subunit ribosomal RNA
Source: RNAcentral